GACCCUUCCUUGAAGUGUAGUAGUUUUUACUUCUGGAAAGGGUCUAUUUGUUGUGUCGCGAAUUAUUGUUAAAUAGUGAGUGAUUUUAGUUCACGCGCGGGCAGCGCAAGGUUUUAGGGAGGCAGCUAUACUAUGGCUCAGAACGGUAAGGUUAAAUGGUUCAACGCAGAAAAAGGAUACGGCUUCAUUGAAGUCGAAGGCGGAAAUGAUGUAUUCGUACACUAUUCUGCAAUUGAAGGCGACGGUUUCAAGACGCUUGAAGAAGGCCAGGAAGUCAGCUUCGACAUUGUUGAAGGCAAUCGCGGACCUCAGGCCGCAAACGUUGUAAAACUGUAAUCUUCGGCCAUAGCCGGUAAUG
RNAcentral lists this small RNA (358 nucleotides) under uncultured Sporolactobacillus sp. Its description in RNAcentral is "cspA thermoregulator". Lineage: Bacteria; Bacillati; Bacillota; Bacilli; Caryophanales; Sporolactobacillaceae. The record is from RNAcentral.